AAUAAUUUAGGCAUAAGCAUCAGCACAACAUUAAUUGUGAUAAUAAUAAUAGUGGAUCGCAGUUAUUGGAAACGGAGACUAUGUGAUUGCUCUAUACUCCACAAAGGAAUGAACAGUAGACAUGCAUAUAUCCCAAUUUAAAAGGAAAAAGCGAGCAACAAGUCAUCACUAAAAGUCUAACAAAUAAAACCAAGGAAGAUGCACUUUGGCACAUUUUAUAAUAAACACUACAACGAUCUGAAAGGCCAUUCAAUUCUGCAAGGUAGUAUUCUUCAGGAAGUUCUUCAUUCUCUGUACUAGUCGGCCUAAUAUCGCCAUAAACUCCAUUAUUAGAUCCGAAAUCCAGCCAAUUCACUUCACAAAUUGUUCGUAAUAGGCAAGGUUUCCCUUUGAAGCCAGAACUAUAUUAGAUUGAUUACAAGAGGAGAAAAAAGGAUAAUUAAAACGUUUCCAAUUGAAGGCAAGAAUUCAAAAACGCUUACUGUUUAAACUUUUCCUCGAAUAUUUUGUAAAUAUGUGCACGUGAAAUUAAAGAGACUGCUGCA
This is a long non-coding RNA of Hermetia illucens (black soldier fly), 545 nucleotides long. RefSeq lists it as uncharacterized. The record is from RefSeq and is a predicted model, not a curated record. The transcript has 4 exons. Lineage: Eukaryota; Metazoa; Arthropoda; Insecta; Diptera; Stratiomyidae.